This 235-nucleotide ribosomal RNA is filed under the name uncultured bacterium. RNAcentral's name for it is "partial 16S ribosomal RNA". It matches the Rfam family "Bacterial small subunit ribosomal RNA", at positions 1267 to 1500 of the family's 1533-position model. The record is from RNAcentral.
GCUAAUCUCAAAAGGACCGAUCGUAGUCCGGAUUGGAGUCUGCAACUCGACUCCAUGAAGUCGGAAUCGCUAGUAAUCGCGGAUCAGAAUGCCGCGGUGAAUACGUUCCCGGGCCUUGUACACACCGCCCGUCACACCAUGGGAAUUUGUUGCACCAGAAGUAGGUAGUCUAACCGCAAGGAGGACGCUUACCACGGUGUGGCCGAUGACUGGGGUGAAGUCGUAACAAGGUAUC